GAUACUAUAAUAUUUUUCAAUAUUUUUACUAUUUGGAUAUAAUGCUGCAUUGGAUUGACUUUGUUUAAAAAUGUUAUUU
This 79-nucleotide small RNA is filed under the name Arabidopsis thaliana (thale cress). Its description in RNAcentral is "ATSL183130". The record is from RNAcentral. Lineage: Eukaryota; Viridiplantae; Streptophyta; Magnoliopsida; Brassicales; Brassicaceae.